AUGCACACCGGGCAUCCAGGUUUUGAGACAUUGAUCACCUCUCCUUAUGGUAUUCCCCAGCCAAUACUGCCAGUAUUCGAACGGGACCGCGAGAGUGACUUUGCCCUUCUCAAGAUGGCCCUGGAUAAUCUGAUGGGCAGUCAUGGACACCUGAAUGAACAAUAUAAGUACCAAGUGCUUCUUGGCCACUUGAAGCUACCCAGUGCUUUACACCUAGCUAAGGCAUAUAUGUACGACACACAACCCUACACUGCUGCACUACAGGCAUUGCAAGAUAAGUACGGCCAACCAAGGCAGCUCGUCCAGUCAGAGCUAGGUGCUAUACUCAACUCGCCUGCUAUCAAGUUCAGUGACUCUGAGGCUUUUGACUCAUUUGCCCUCUCCAUCCAGUGUCUUGUGGGCAUGCUUGGGACACUUGAAGGACCAAAUGGUUUUGAGUUGAGGUGUGGAUCUCACGUGGAUCGCCUUUUGAGUAAAAUGCCCCCAUCCUUCAGAGACAGUUUUAUCGAGUAUUGUCUGAACCGUGGAAUCCUUCGAACAGGGUUCGAUAUAACCUACACAUUGCCAGACCUGGCAGCCUGGCUUCAGAUGAAGUCACAAGCUAAGCGUCUCUCCAGUCGAGCUGCAGCACUCUACCAGCACGAGACAACUAAACCGGUCAAGAAGGACAUUAUCCCCCACCAUAAGGAGAAGACCACAACUAUCUUUUUUAAUGCUGGAGAGCCCCCUAGUGUAUCAGAAAUUGCUCGUUCGAAAGCCACCUUCAAGUCCAAGCCAUAUUGUCCUCACUGUGAGAACAAAGACCACUUCUUAAGUAGCUGUGAGAACUUCAAGAAGCUGUCCACCAGUGAAAUCGUGAAAUGGAUCAGAGAUGGAAACCGGUGCUUCAAGUGUGGUCGUAAUCAUGCUGCACAAGACUGUAACUUGAAGCGCCCCUGCAAAACAUGCAAAGAACUGCACCUGACCAUUCUGCAUGACUCCAUCCAGCAGAUCCAAACCAACGUCAAUAUGAUAACCACACCAACAGCAAGGAUCUAUCUCGAUCGACCCAACCGAUCACAACAUGUGAUGUUAAAGGUUGUCAAAGUUAUCCUAAGGAAUGGUGACCGAGCUUUAGAGACCUAUGCUGUCCUAGACGACGGCUCAGAAAGAAGUAUCAUUCUCCCUCAAGCAGUGCGGCAACUAAACCUUUGUGGACAACCAGAGACACUUUACUUACAGACAAUCCAUCAGAAUGUUGGAAAGCUCCAGGGCAGUUCUGUCUCCUUUGACCUUUCUCCAACGUGCAUGCCCUCCAAGAAGUACCGGAUCCACCAGGCCUUCACUGCCGAAGGUCUGAACCUUGCCGAACACUCUUACCCAGUAGCUGCACUACAGCAAAGGUACAAGCACCUCAGCGGUUUGCCCCUACAGCCGAUUGACCGCAUUCACCCACUGCUCCUGAUAGGUUCAGAUAUGCCACACCUCCUAGUCCCCAUUCAGCCAGUCCGUGCAGGUCCACCAGGUGAUCCUAUUGGUGUCUGUACCCAACUAGGUUGGUCACUCCAGGGUCCUAACAGCCUAGUCCAGCCUACAUCAACCUCACAAUGUUUCCGCAUCUCCACUGUUUCUCCUGCUACCAAGCUCUUCAUGAAUGUUGGGCAAGUUGACGCAUUCCCUUAUAGUAGCGAGAAAGCAGUCACCCGCUCCAAGCAGGAUCAGAAAGCGAUGGCCAUGCUCCAAACAUCCACCACCAGAGUCAAGGUUGAUGGUGUACAGCAACAAGAUACCCCCUUGCUGAGGCAAGUUAAUGUUACACUGAUUCAAGGGACAAAGGACGCCGUGCUACCCUGUCUUCAUUGCAUAGAGGGCAGGCUUGCCAAGGACCCAGAGAGGAGGGCAGAAGUUUACUGCAACGAGAUCCAGAACCUGACUGAGCCUGAUAGCUGGAGAUAUGUGAGCUCUACAGCCAACCCGGCAGAUGAUAUCACUCGAGGUUUGACCCUACCUGAGCUGGCAAAUCUGCAUCGAUGGCAUCAAGGUCCAGGAUUUCUUCACUUACUGGAGGACCAUUGGCCCACCAUACCUUCUGCUGAUCCUGAGUCCGAUGACAAUAAGAUAAAGAAGUCCGCUGUGGUUGCCAAUGUGAUCAUCCUCCCUGGUAACCAGCUCCCAUGGAAAGAGCUCAUAGAAGCCACAGCCAGGUACCUUCACGGGGCGGCCGACCCGCAAACCACAAAUCUGCAUUGUAAAGCAUCUGACUACCUCGCCGCUGAGACAGCUCUUCUCAUCAAGGCCCAGUCAGAAUCAUUCCUCUACCACAAGCCAUUUAUAGCUCUACUGACCUCCUUGGAACACGUCGCUGGAAACAUAGUCAGGUGCUGGCAGAUCACUUUUGGUCUACCUUCAUCCGCCACUACUUGCCAGGUCUACAAGAGAGACAGAAGUGGAGGAAAGAUGGCGAGGGGCUUUCAGCCGGUAAGGUGGUCCUCAUUGUUGACCCGCGGCUUCCUCGAGCACUCUGGCCAGUUGGGAAGGUCACACAGACGUAUCCUGGAGCUGACAAUCGUAUCCGUACUGUGGCUGUGCAGGUGA
Molecule: long non-coding RNA, 2574 nt
Organism: Gouania willdenowi (blunt-snouted clingfish)
Lineage: Eukaryota; Metazoa; Chordata; Actinopteri; Blenniiformes; Gobiesocidae
Source: Ensembl